AGAGUUUGAUCAUGGCUCAGAUUGAACGCUGGCGGCAGGCCUAACACAUGCAAGUCGAACGUGAAAGCACUUCGGUGUGAGUAGAGUGGCGGACGGGUGAGUAACGCGUAGGAAUCUACCUAGUAGUGGGGGACAACAUGUGGAAACGCAUGCUAAUACCGCAUACGCCCUAUGGGGGAAAGCGGGGGAUCUUCGGACCUCGUGCUAUUGGAUGAGCCUGCGUAAGAUUAGCUAGUUGGUGGGGUAAAGGCCUACCAAGGCGACGAUCUUUAGCUGGUCUGAGAGGAUGAUCAGCCACACUGGAACUGAGACACGGUCCAGACUCCUACGGGAGGCAGCAGUGGGGAAUAUUGCGCAAUGGGGGCAACCCUGACGCAGCCAUGCCGCGUGUGUGAAGAAGGCCCUAGGGUUGUAAAGCACUUUCAGCGAGGAGGAAAAGUUGUACGUUAAUAGCGUGCAACCGUGACGUUACUCGCAGAAGAAGCACCGGCUAAUUCAGUGCCAGCAGCCGCGGUAAUACUGAAGGUGCAAGCGUUAAUCGGAAUUACUGGGCGUAAAGCGCGCGUAGGCGGCUUGGUCAGUUGGAUGUGAAAGCCCCGGGCUCAACCUGGGAACUGCAUUCAAUACUGCCAAGCUAGAGUAUGGGAGAGGGCUGUGGAAUUCCACGUGUAGCGGUGAAAUGCGUAGAUAUGUGGAGGACAUCAGUGGCGAAGGCGGCAGCCUGGCCCA
RNAcentral lists this ribosomal RNA (729 nucleotides) under uncultured Gammaproteobacteria bacterium. RNAcentral's name for it is "bacterial SSU rRNA". It matches the Rfam family "Bacterial small subunit ribosomal RNA", at positions 8 to 736 of the family's 1533-position model. Lineage: Bacteria; Pseudomonadati; Pseudomonadota; Gammaproteobacteria. The record is from RNAcentral.